CACGUAGGGUGCGAGCGUUGUCCGGAAUUAUUGGGCGUAAAGAGCUCGUAGGCGGUGUGUCGCGUCGGCCGUGAAAACCUGCAGCUUAACUGUGGGCGUGCGGUCGAUACGGGCAUCACUGGAGUUCGGCAGGGGAGACUGGGAUUCCUGGUGUAGCGGUGAAAUGCGCAGAUAUCAGGAGGAACACCGGUGGCGAAGGCGGGUCUCUGGGCCGAUACUGACGCUGAGGAGCGAAAGCGUGGGGAGCGAACAGG
Molecule: ribosomal RNA, 254 nt
Filed under: uncultured bacterium
Lineage: Bacteria
Description: partial 16S ribosomal RNA
Rfam family: Bacterial small subunit ribosomal RNA
Source: RNAcentral